Molecule: non-coding RNA, 45 nt
Filed under: Schistosoma mansoni
Lineage: Eukaryota; Metazoa; Platyhelminthes; Trematoda; Strigeidida; Schistosomatidae
Source: RNAcentral
AUCCAUCUGACGAGUCCCAAAUUGGACGAAACGCGCGUCCUGGAU